Molecule: long non-coding RNA, 1338 nt
Organism: Lynx canadensis (Canada lynx)
Lineage: Eukaryota; Metazoa; Chordata; Mammalia; Carnivora; Felidae
Exons: 2
Source: RefSeq, a predicted model, not a curated record
CUUGGGAUUCUCUCUCUCUCUCUCUCUCUCUCUCAAAAUAAAUAAACUUAAAAAAUAAAAGAAUGACUCCUCGCUUAUAGGUUGGAGGAAAUGGUGGUGCUCAUUUCUGGGGUAGGAAGGACGGGGGUGCCAAGAGUUUCUAGAGGGCAUAGGAUGUCCAAGAUGGCUGGGAGACCACCAGAUAGAAGAAAGGUCAGCUACACCAUGGACACCCAAGCGUGGGGUACUGGGAUGACUGCAGGGCUGGGGGGAGACGUAUGAGGGUCAGCACCAGAUGGGCGGCAUAGAGAGCCUCCAGACUGGUAGGGUUGCUGAGGAAGAGGAGUAGCUGGGGAAGGGGGGCCCGAGGAGCCAGCCCGCCAGGUCGUGCCACACUUGGGGCCGGGCAGGGGGAGGAGGAGGCGGCGAAGGUGGCUGUAAGCUGCUGGGGAGAUUGUCCUCGAGUAGGAAAGUCAGAAUCGAAGGCAACCCAGAGUCCUCUGUGACUGCACAUCCGGGGCUGAUGCACGGAGGCGCCUGGCAUUUGAGGAGGCAACAGACCAUCUGGGCGUCAUUCUCAUUAACCUUGGGGGUUGGGAACUCCCAGCCCCCCUUGCAGCCCACCUGUGGCCCACCCACCCCUCACCAGGCCCCCUGGGUGUCCCCUGUUCGUUCCUCUCCUCCUCCCUGCAGGCAUACCUACUGGCCUCCCCUGUGCGCCUUGUCUCCUCCAGCCGACCCCGUGCCUGCCCUGUUGUGCGGUCCGUGUCUAUGCAGCUGGAGCCCCGGCGGCCCGGAGCUGGGGAUGUGUGUUACUCGUCCUUGCUUUCCCAGUGUGGAGCCUGGAACACGGAUCUCUGGAGAGAUUAGGGGUAAUCUAAAAAUCACGUUUUCAUUAACGUUCCUGAUUCUGCACCCUGACCAUGUGUUAUCUGUGUGACCCAACAGCUCCACUCCCAGUAUUCAGCCAGAGAAGCCAACGCUCCUGUCCACACAGAAGAUUGCCCCUGGGUGUUCAUAUGGGCUUUCUCCAUAGUGGCUGCAAGUGGAAACCACCCAAAUGCCCACCAACAGAUGGGCUGUUAGCCAAGUCACGGCAUGUCCGAGCAAUGGACUUAGCGAUAAAGAACGACCCAUACGGCAACCCGGAGCAGCCUCAAAAGCAUCACGUGAAAUUCUAGAUCAGGCAAAACUAAUUUAUGGUGACAGGAAACAGAUCCUCGGUUGCUCGCCAAGGUGGGGAGGGGGCCGACUCCGGGGGCUGGGGGCACAUUCUGUGUCGUGAUUGUGAUGGUUGGUCCCAGGGUGUAUAUGUAUAUGUUUGUCUGAAUGCAUUAAUAACUGCCUGCCUCAGAUGGA